CUCACAGAAUUCUCUCUCUCGCUCUCCUCUCUAGCUCCCGUCCGGUGAGAUUUCUUAUAGCAUAUCGUUCCACCCAUUGUGAUUUUGCCGAUGAUGGAGACAAUCGAGAGUAUAGUAAGGUUGGUGAUGAUUGGCGGCUCUCACCCACCCUUCCUCUUCAACUCUUAUCUCAAUCGUACACCAUCAACUUCGAAUUCCAAACCCUAAAAUUUGUGUAUCAUAUUGUCACUUCCCACUAUAUUCACCAUGGUCGGUCUUUCCUCUCCAAGCAUCAUCCUUUAUCUUGUAGGGGUCUAUUAAUAGUUUUUCUAUUGCUAUUGAAUGAAUGAUUUAGCAUUUUUUUCUCAAAAAUGUGAUGAAACUUGAUUUUUCAUGAAAUUUCUUCAUCUUGAUCUUGGUGUUGGUACUAAAUUAAUCUAGUUCUUUUCUUUUUUAAGUUUUGAAUUGGAUAGGUUGUAGCUAGUUAAGUGUUGAAUUUUGUUUCAUUUUAUCUUUGAAAGGAUUGGAUCAUUUUAGAAUAUGCUUAUGUUAGCCUUAUCUUUGGCUGUUAUCAAUUGGCUUUGAGUUGAUGGAGAUUAGCCCUUGGAUUUUGAUAUAGCUAUGCAAUUUGUUGAUUGAUCGCACCUAGUCUCUGCAUUUUUAGAUUUUGAUUUUGAGCAAACCCAUAUCUCAUUAAUUAUCCAUCUUCAGAGUCCAAGUUGAUGACGAUGAGUAAGAGCACUACGAAAUUGAGAUGAAUUGAAAACAAAGGACAAUUUGGGAAAGUUGACAUCUCCAACAUUUUUUUGUGUCAUUUAACUGACACGAGAUUGCUGGUUUAGAGUUUUUAUUUUUGACACCCAUUUCUCAUUAAAUAUCCAUAUCCUUGGUUUGUGCUCUGUCCAUUGUGUUUGCAGGUUAUUGAGAUUCUGGAACUUGUGAGAAGAAAACGGAGUGGAGACUCUAAAAACCCCGUUCGAUCGUAUGGUUAAUUAAGCCAGAGACAGAAAAUAAAUAAAUUGGAAGUCAUUUGGAAGAGGUCAAGCUCUAAUGGUGGAGAUAGUGACUCGACCCCAAAGGUACUACGUGGCCUCGUGAAUCUGAUGAUCAUCACGAAGCUUUUAAAAGCUACUGGUACUAAUUUUGGGAUUCAUCAUAUCAUCAAAUAUUCACACAUGGACGCAAUUAAAUUAUAAUCCUUCAAGUCCUCUUCACUUCAUAUAACAAAACAAACAUUGGAUCUAUCAAACUGAUCGUGAUCAAUCAGAAUGUCAACAAGUGAUUUCAAUAAUUGUUCAAAGUUAUAUUAAUUUAACCUC
Prosopis cineraria is the source of this 1298-nucleotide long non-coding RNA. RefSeq lists it as uncharacterized. The record is from RefSeq and is a predicted model, not a curated record. NCBI's taxonomy places the organism in Eukaryota, Viridiplantae, Streptophyta, Magnoliopsida, Fabales, Fabaceae. The transcript has 3 exons.